RNAcentral lists this small nucleolar RNA (75 nucleotides) under Bombyx mori (domestic silkworm). RNAcentral's name for it is "Bm_16". Lineage: Eukaryota; Metazoa; Arthropoda; Insecta; Lepidoptera; Bombycidae. The record is from RNAcentral.
AAACCAUGAUGAUAAGAGAAUCCGUUCCAUUUUAUUCUGAUUAUUGUAUGACGAUUAAUUCUCCCAACUGAGCUU